This 255-nucleotide ribosomal RNA is filed under the name uncultured bacterium. Its description in RNAcentral is "partial 16S ribosomal RNA". It matches the Rfam family "Bacterial small subunit ribosomal RNA", at positions 524 to 776 of the family's 1533-position model. The record is from RNAcentral.
GACGAACCGGACAAACGUUAUUCGGAAUUACUGGGCUUAAAGGGUUUGUAGGCGGCCUUGUAAGUCAGGUGUGAAAUCCCUCGGCUCAACCGAGGAAUGGCGCUUGAUACUGCACGGGCUUGAGGGAGGACAGGGGUAAGCGGAACUGAUGGUGGAGCGGUGAAAUGCGUUGAUAUCAUCAGGAACACCGGUGGCGAAAGCGGCUUACUGGGUCUCAUCUGACGCUGAGGAACGAAAGCUAGGGGAGCGAACGGG